ACGAACGCUGGCGGCGUGCUUAACACAUGCAAGUCGAACGAAGAGCGACGGAAGCUUGCUUCUAUCAAUCUUAGUGGCGAACGGGUGAGUAACGCGUAAUCAACCUGCCCUUCAGAGGGGGACAACAGUUGGAAACGACUGCUAAUACCGCAUACGACCUAACGUCGGCAUCGAGGAAAGAUGAAAGGUGGCCUCUACAAGUAAGCUAUCACUGAUGGAGGGGAUUGCGUCUGAUUAGCUAGUUGGAGGGGUAACGGGCCACCGAGGCGAUGAUGAGUAGCCGGUCUGAGACGAAGAACAGCCACAUUGAGACUGAGACACGGCCCAGACUCCUACGGGAGGCAGCAGUGGGGAAUCUGCCGCAAUGGACGAAAGUCUGACGGAGCAACGCCGCGGGAGUGAUGACGGCCUUCGGGUUGUAAAGCUCUGUUUGUCGGGACGAAAGGCCUUCUUGCGAUAAGUGAGAAGGAUUGACGGUACCGGAAGAGAAAGCCACGGCUAACUACGUG
RNAcentral lists this ribosomal RNA (509 nucleotides) under uncultured bacterium. Its description in RNAcentral is "partial 16S ribosomal RNA". It matches the Rfam family "Bacterial small subunit ribosomal RNA", at positions 29 to 507 of the family's 1533-position model. The record is from RNAcentral.